UGCAAUUGGAAUGAGUACAAUUUAAAUCCCUUAACGAGGAUCAAUUGGAGGGCAAGUCUGGUGCCAGCAGCCGCGGUAAUUCCAGCUCCAAUAGCGUAUAUUAAAGUUGUUGCAGUUAAAACGUCCGUAGUCAAAUUUUAGUCUUACCGGCGCGGUGGCCUGGUCUUCAUUGACCAAGCUCGCUGUCGCUGGAGACUCCACGUCCGCUUUCUUCUAGUCUUCGGGCUAGGAUUUUGUGGACAAUUACCAUGAGCAAAUCAGAGUGUUUAAAGCAGGCUUUUAAGCUUGAAUGUGUUAGCAUGGAAUAAUGAAAUAUGACUUUAGUCCUAUUUUCGUUGGUUUAGGUACUAUAGUAAUGAUUAAUAGAAACGGUUGGGGGCAUUUGUAUUUGGCCGCUAGAGGUGAAAUUCUUGGAUUGGCCGAAGACAAACUACUGCGAAAGCAUUUGACCCAGGACGUUUUCAUUGAUCAAGGUCUAAAGUUAAGGGAUCGAAGACGAUUAGACUCCGUCGUAGUCUUAACCACAAACUAUGCCGACUAGAGAUUGGGCGUGUUUCUUCUGACUCGCUCAGCCUCUUAGCGAAAGU
Molecule: ribosomal RNA, 587 nt
Filed under: Rhizopus homothallicus
Lineage: Eukaryota; Fungi; Mucoromycota; Mucoromycetes; Mucorales; Rhizopodaceae
Description: SSU rRNA
Rfam family: Eukaryotic small subunit ribosomal RNA
Source: RNAcentral